GAUGAACGCUAGCGGCAGGCCUAACACAUGCAAGUCGAGGGGUAACAGGGGAGCUUGCUCCGCUGACGACCGGCGCACGAGUGCGUAACGCGUAUACAAUCUACCUUUUGCUACGGGAUAGCCCAGAGAAAUUUGGAUUAAUACCGCAUAGUAUAUUGAGAUCGCAUGGUUUUAAUAUUAAAGGUUACGGCAGAAGAUGAGUAUGCGUUCUAUUAGCUAGAUGGUGUGGUAACGGCACACCAUGGCAACGAUAGAUAGGGGCCCUGAGAGGGGGAUCCCCCACACUGGUACUGAGACACGGACCAGACUCCUACGGGAGGCAGCAGUGAGGAAUAUUGGACAAUGGGCGAGAGCCUGAUCCAGCCAUGCCGCGUGCAGGAAGACGGCCCUAUGGGUUGUAAACUGCUUUUAUACAGGAAGAAACACCUCUACGAGUAGAGGCUUGACGGUACUGUAAGAAUAAGGAUCGGCUAACUCCGUGC
Molecule: ribosomal RNA, 482 nt
Filed under: uncultured Cytophagales bacterium
Lineage: Bacteria; Pseudomonadati; Bacteroidota; Sphingobacteriia; Sphingobacteriales
Description: bacterial SSU rRNA
Rfam family: Bacterial small subunit ribosomal RNA
Source: RNAcentral